CUUAAAGGAUAAUCUAGAGUUUAAUUCAGAAAACAAAGAGACCUUUGGUCAGUUAGUAUUUGGAUCUAGCUGUACCACAACUGCAUCUCUUGUUCUAGCUGUCAUCUCUUCCAUAUGAUCUACAGUUCUGGUUGAGAGUGUUAUAGAAUUGUGGAGGGAGAGAGAAAACCUUUGAAGCUUACGGUACUUAGCAACCAGCAGAUAUACAUUCCUGGGUGUCACACCUCUGGUAGUGUUACUGUGACAAACUGAGAAAGAAUGGGUUGCACUGUCAGGAGAUGUGGUGGAUAUAUGGAGAUAUGCUAUGUGCUACUGGGGGCAUUGUGCUGGAUGCAGAUAGCCAGGGCUUAUGUUGUAAAUGACCCUGAGGCCAGUCAAGAGAUUGAUUCUAUUACAUGCUGGACCUGUCCAGAAAAAGCAAACAACCAUGCUUGCAACAGAUGGGCCCCCGAUGUUCCUUGCCAUAAAAAUCAUACUGUGUGUCACACCCACCACAGAUAUGACAGUCUCAGACAUAAAACUAUCUCAGUCACCAAGACAUGUGCCAGAGCAUCUGAAUGUACCCACAAUACUGCUGGCUGCACAGAGACAGAUGUUGUAGGCAUUUAUGACUGUAUCUCAUGCUGUAACAAGGCCUACUGCAAUAGAGCAAUCCCCUCAAACCAUAGCGAAGCUCUCAGACUUACUGUACUUAGUGGUUCAGACAAUCUGAAGCUAAGCAAACACAUAGUGUGGAUUAUCUCCAUAGUGUAUAUAAUAAGAUACAUAUUCAGGACUGAUUUAUAGAUCAGAGAUACAACACAUAUUGUUAUUGUGUAUAUACAUAUUGUUUAAUAUGCCCUUUCAUUCAACGAUAUCAUGUCAAGUGAAAAGCAGUCAGUCCAAAUAGUGCAAAGAUGUAACAUCUCUAAAAAUGUGUUCAUACAUGUUGAUUGUAUUGUGUUUUGUCACAAAUUUCGUAAGAGAAUGAGGCAUAUGAUCUUAUAUACAACAGCAAUACGUCCAAUCACUAAGAUAAUCUCUGUUUAUGUGGUGCUAGAUCUCAACUUUUACUUAUCUGCUGCACAAGUGUAAUACUGGCCAAGAGUGCACAGACAUUUUGCAACAGUUUAAUCCUGACAUAGGUGCACAGACAUUUUGCAACAGUGUAAUCCUGGCCUAAGCAACAGUACAAAUCUGGAAUAAGGUGUACAGACAAUUUGCAAAAGUACAAUCCUGGUCACAACACAGACAACUGCAAAUGUACAAUUCUGGACUACAAUGAACAGACAUUUUGCAAUAGUACAUCCCUGGUCUACAAUGCACAAACAGUAUGCAAUGGUGCUAUUUUGACUAAAACGUACAGACAAUUUGCAAAGUACAAAGACAUUUAGCAUAGAUUAUUUAGUACAGUGCAGUACAAUGUACAGUUGACAUUUAUUUUAUACAAACCAUCCUAUAUCAGAAAAAUGACAAUCAGAAAAUAGUGUAUACUGU
This 1476-nucleotide unclassified non-coding RNA is filed under the name Owenia fusiformis. RNAcentral describes it as "misc RNA OFUS_LOCUS14642". The record is from RNAcentral. Lineage: Eukaryota; Metazoa; Annelida; Polychaeta; Sabellida; Oweniidae.